GGUGGCUCAGUGGUAGAAUGCUUGCCUUGCAUGCAUGAGGUCUUGGGUUCGAUUCCCCAGCACCA
RNAcentral lists this transfer RNA (65 nucleotides) under Dipodomys ordii (Ord's kangaroo rat). It matches the Rfam family "tRNA". From Rfam's summary of the family: Transfer RNA (tRNA) molecules are approximately 80 nucleotides in length. Their secondary structure includes four short double-helical elements and three loops (D, anti-codon, and T loops). The record is from Rfam by way of RNAcentral. Lineage: Eukaryota; Metazoa; Chordata; Mammalia; Rodentia; Heteromyidae.